UACAGAGGUCUCAAGCGUUGUUCGGAUUCAUUGGGCGUAAAGGGUGCGUAGGCGGCGGGGUAAGUCUGAUGUGAAAUCCCGGGGCUCAACUCCGGAACUGCAUUGGAUACUGCCUUGCUUGAGUACUGGAGAGGAGACUGGAAUUUACGGUGUAGCAGUGAAAUGCGUAGAGAUCGUAAGGAAGACCAGUGGCGAAGGCGAGUCUCUGGACAGUUACUGACGCUGAGGCACGAAGGCCGGGGGAGCAAACGGG
RNAcentral lists this ribosomal RNA (253 nucleotides) under uncultured bacterium. RNAcentral describes it as "partial 16S ribosomal RNA". It matches the Rfam family "Bacterial small subunit ribosomal RNA", at positions 524 to 776 of the family's 1533-position model. The record is from RNAcentral.